Molecule: ribosomal RNA, 468 nt
Filed under: uncultured bacterium
Lineage: Bacteria
Description: partial 16S ribosomal RNA
Rfam family: Bacterial small subunit ribosomal RNA
Source: RNAcentral
GACGAACGCUGGCGGCGUGCUUAACACAUGCAAGUCGAACGGAAAGGCCCGGCGUUUGUGGGGUUCUCGAUUGGCGAACGGGGGAGUAACACGUGAGUAAACUGCCCCUGACUUUGGGAUAACUUCAGGAAACUGGGGCUAAUACCGGAGAGAAUCUCUUGCUGCGUGGUGGGGGUUGGAAAGUGUCGGCCGUGGUGGAUGGACUAGCUGCUUAUCAGCUGGUUGGUGGGGUAGUGGCUGACCAAGGCUUUGACGGGUAGCCGGCCUGAGAGGGUGAACGGCCUCAUUGGGCCUGAGAUACGGACCAGACUCCUACGGGCGGCAGCAGUGGGGAAUAUUGCAGAGUGGCGGGAAGUCUGAUGCAGCAACGCCGCGUGCGUGAUGACGGCCUUCGGGUUGUAAACCGCUUUCGAAUGUGACGAAGCGUGAGUGACGGUAAUGGGUCAAGAAGCACCGGCUAACUACGUG